UGAGGAAUAUUGGUCAAUGGGCGAGAGCCUGAACCAGCCAAGUAGCGUGCAGGAUGACGGCCCUAUGGGUUGUAAACUGCUUUUAUAUGGGAAUAAAGUGAGGGACGUGUCCCUUAUUGCAUGAACCAUACGAAUAAGGACCGGCUAAUUCCGUGCAAGCAGCCGCGGUAAUACGGAAGGUCCAGGCGUUAUCCGGAUUUAUUGGGUUUAAAGGGAGCGUAGGCUGUUUGUUAAGCGUGUUGUGAAAUGUAAGAGCUCAACUUUUAGAUUGCAGCUCGAACUGGCAGACUUGAGUGCGCACAACGUAGGCGGAAUUCAUGGUGUAGCGGUGAAAUGCUUAGAUAUCAGGACGAACUCCGAUUGCGAAGGCAGCUUACGGGAGCGCAACUGACGCUAGAGCUCGAAGGUGCGGGUAUCGAACAGG
Molecule: ribosomal RNA, 424 nt
Filed under: Verrucomicrobiota bacterium
Lineage: Bacteria; Pseudomonadati; Verrucomicrobiota
Description: Verrucomicrobia bacterium partial 16S ribosomal RNA
Rfam family: Bacterial small subunit ribosomal RNA
Source: RNAcentral